This 206-nucleotide unclassified non-coding RNA is filed under the name plant metagenome. RNAcentral describes it as "partial contains small subunit ribosomal RNA and internal transcribed spacer 1". The stretch from base 1 to 46 matches the Rfam family "Eukaryotic small subunit ribosomal RNA", at positions 1786 to 1831 of the family's 1831-position model. The record is from RNAcentral.
AAGUCGUAACAAGGUCUCCGUAGGUGAACCUGCGGAGGGAUCAUUAGCGAAGAGGCGGGGGCCGCUCCGGCGGCGCCGCCGUCUAUCCAUCCGUGCAUGUCGACCGUGUUGCCUUGGGGGCGUCCGUGUCUCCCGACGCGGGCCCCGGGGGUGAUCUGAAACCGAUUUGAGAAGCGUCGUCGGAGUGUAGGCUUGAAUUGAACAAA